Molecule: non-coding RNA, 112 nt
Organism: Acanthosepion pharaonis
Lineage: Eukaryota; Metazoa; Mollusca; Cephalopoda; Sepiida; Sepiidae
Source: the annotation of a GenBank genome assembly
UUACGGCCAUAUCACGUUGAAACACCGGUUCCCGUACGAUCCUCAAAGUUAAGCAAUGUCGAGCCUGAUCAGUAACUAAAUGAGUGACCGCUUUCGAAUACCAGGUGUUAUA